UGAAAUUUUGACCCAAAUCUUUUGGAUUUGCAUUUUUUUUCCAAAUCGUUUUCUAUCAAUAAUCUUGGUAAAGAGAUCUGAAAUUUUUCCCAAAUAUUUUGGAUUUGCAUUUUUAAUUGCCACUGAAAAUGAAUAUUGUAUGUUUGUAAUUAAUUUUAUGCUUUAAUAUUAUAAUUUCGAUUUUAGGGAUGACAAGCUUAUGCAAUUAAAGGUUGUAAUUUUAACUGGGAAAACAAAAACCAGAAAAAGAAAUGGUGGAUCAACAAAAUACAAAAUAAAAGAACAAGAAGAAGAUGAAAUAGCAUCUGUAACUUGAUAAAAAGAUGGGAGAAAGUGGAAAACAGCAAGCCUGUAAUCGCCGUCGAAGUAGUGCCGUAAUGACUUUACUUUUGACGGAGAAGAGAGAAAGGUCAUUGAAGGAGAAGGAAAAUGUUGUUGUUAAUUUUUUAAGAUUAAAUCUGGACCAUUAAAAACAUUCAUUGACACAUGGCAAACAUCUAUAAGAAACUGGAGCAAAGUGGAGCAUAAGAAAAUGGAGCUGAUCUGGACUCUAAAUUCGGGAGGCAGUCGUGAUAUAAAUUCUCGUGAUACAUAGCACUCCUCUUUAUUUUAUGCUUAUGCAAGUUGUCCUUCUUAAUUACUUCGAGAGGAAACAUUUGCCAUAGUAUUUACCCCGCAUUGACAUUGCUUUUAAUAUUAAUUUCCAUAGUAAAAGAAAAUAUUGCAUUUGAAAAUAUAUUAAUGUGAUGAAAUUCAUAGUCCUAGCAUUUAUCGUAUCAUAUCUUUAUAAAAAGAGAAUUUACAUAUCACCAAAAAAAAAAAGAGAAUUUAC
RNAcentral lists this long non-coding RNA (832 nucleotides) under Trifolium pratense (red clover). RNAcentral describes it as "long non-coding RNA (TPRA_LNC009032)". Lineage: Eukaryota; Viridiplantae; Streptophyta; Magnoliopsida; Fabales; Fabaceae. The record is from RNAcentral.